GUCCCCCUGCAUCCUCCCCUGGCAGUGGGUUCUCAAUCUCUGCAGAUUAUGUCAAAGGGGUCUACAAAAGACUUUGGAAAUCUAUUGCAGGUAUGUACAGUUGAAUUCUGUGCAGUCAGUUUUCAGUCAAAGGGGCCUGCACCUUUGCUCAGCAUUUUUAGGGGUCCACAAAUGAAAAAAGUUUGAAAAUCACUGACUUAGAGGACUCUAAUCUGCUGGACUUCAACAUCAGACAAUGAGCUGCCUUUCCAUAUUAUCCCAUUACACAUGGAGAAAUAUGGCUAGCUGGCUGCUCCCCUGGAAAGGUGACCUGAUCUGUAAGCCACUGAGGAUAUACACAGCCUUCAAAAGCAUCAUGUCCCAAGGAGUCACUUGUGUGGAUCAUGUACAAGACUAGCCUGAUAGUCAUUUCCUAUCUUUGGCAAGAAAUCCUCUAGGAACAGGAACUUACGGGUGGAAAAAGACCUGCCAAUAAGUGGUUCAGCGUGGAAAAUAGGGACUCUGCUGAUCUAUACUCAUGUCGAAACAGGAGAUUGUAAAAGCAGCACAAAUAGUGACCCUUGGUGACCAAGUUUGCUGGCUACAGGAGGACGUGAGCAGCGAGAUCAGAAUAUCCAGCAGAUUUUCAAGCAGAGGAAGUCUUGUUGCUUCCCCUGCAGAUCAAAUUACUCAAUCUGGCCUGAUCCUGCUGCCAUUGAGGAUCCUCCAGGAGUAUGAAUGGAAUGGAAUGGUAUCACUCUAUGAUGAGAUUGCAUCAUCUGUUUUUCCCCAACUACAGAACAGAAAUAUUUAUUGAGCAUUUCUACCUUUUCUGCAUGAUUAUUGGGAUUAUCUGGAUCCACAAGUGAUAUGAAGAUGUGCAAAUCCUGGGUGUUCACUGAAGAGAUACUAUGGAAAAAUGACAAAUGGCUUCUGCUGCAUAUUACAACACCAGUGGCCUGUUGAACACCAAAAUGAUGGUCACAUUUCUGUCAGUUUCACCUAAGAUGCUAUUAAAGGGAAAUAAAAUCUCUUGGUUCAGGGCAUAAAUGAGAGCUGCAGGAACCGGGGAGGUAUAUCCACACUCUUCUCAGGCAGAGAACCAGAUAUGAUGGGUCAGUUAUCUGACCUUUUAUAGUAAAUCUUAUUUUUCUAAGAACUUCUGUUUUGUUGCAGAAUAUUGAGCUUCUAACUGCCUCGGAAGAAGUGUGGCUUAUUUUGCUUCUGUGACUUGCUAAUGGUUAUUAUCCCGGGGUAGAGUUCAUACAAAAAUAUAGAAGGCAUAACUUUGAAGUUUUGUGUUUUAUUGUCGUUGGCACCAGAAAUGUUUUUGAUCUAUGGUAUGUACACAUACAUCCUCUGUAAACAAGAAUGCAUCAAUAUCGGUUUCUUAAGGUUUUGUUUCAAUGACUGUAUGGUUUUUAAAAAAUACAUUCACAAACUACCUUAUGUUUAAACACAAUGAUUCCCUUUUAUUUUGUAACUGUUCCCCAAAAACCCACAAUAAAAAAAAUCAUUUAAAGCUGUGUAUUCUGAACAUGUCACUUCAGGGGGAAAAAAAAGUCAUCAGUUUGCAACAUAAAUUAAUAAGCUUGUUUAAGGUAGCCACAGGGAACAUAUAAAGAGCUGGUGACAAUCACUGUGAAAUGACUUAUUCUGAUUCCAGGCCUGCCGCUGAGGUGGGAGGGGCCAAGGAAGAAGUUGCCGCAGUGCCUAGUGAUUCAAAGGAGUCCAGGGCUCUGGUCACCAUAGCAAGGGUGGUGGCUGGGGCCACAGGUCCUUUAAAUUGCCACUGAAGUGCUGCACUGCACACUCCAGGUGGCUGAGAGGGUUGGCUGCCCCCUCCCCAUCCCUUCCGCCUCAGGCCCUGUCCCUUCCGGGAGCACAGAGCACCCCACACCUUGCCCAAGGGCCUACACAGGCUGUUGGCUCUCCUGUCUGGUUCAGUUUUAAUUCCAGGAUGCAACAACUACAGCAGUUACCCAAUUUAAUCAGAAAAGUUAUUGCUAAAUAAAUAUUUUGCAAUAAAAAGCACGAAGGUACGUAUGUGCAUGGUGGUGGGAGACGUGGGCUGAAAUGGACAGUCCCUUCCUGAUCAUCACUCCGUGAGGUCUCUAAGGGUAUGUCUACACUACAUGGCUCCAUCGACGGAGCCAUGUAGAUGAGCUUUGUAGACAUAGCAAAAUGAAGC
This is a non-coding RNA of Pelodiscus sinensis (Chinese soft-shelled turtle), 2170 nucleotides long. The record is from RefSeq and is a predicted model, not a curated record. Lineage: Eukaryota; Metazoa; Chordata; Testudines; Trionychidae.